RNAcentral lists this ribosomal RNA (301 nucleotides) under uncultured bacterium. RNAcentral's name for it is "partial 16S ribosomal RNA". It matches the Rfam family "Bacterial small subunit ribosomal RNA", at positions 509 to 809 of the family's 1533-position model. The record is from RNAcentral.
CAGCAGCCACGGUAAUACGAAGGGGGCUAGCGUUGUUCGGAUUUACUGGGCGUAAAGCGCACGUAGGCGGACUUUUAAGUCAGGGGUGGAAUCCCGGGGCUCAACCCCGGAACUGCCUUUGAUACUGGGAGUCUUGAGUUCGAGAGAGGUGAGUGGAAUUGCGUGUGUAGAGGUGAAAUUCGUAGAUAUUCGCAGGAACACCAGUGGCGAAGGCGGCUCACUGGCUCGAUACUGACGCUGAGGUUCGAAAGCGUGGGGAGCAAACAGGAUUAGAGACCCCGGUAGUCCCUGUCUCUUAUAA